This 439-nucleotide ribosomal RNA is filed under the name uncultured bacterium. RNAcentral describes it as "bacterial SSU rRNA". It matches the Rfam family "Bacterial small subunit ribosomal RNA", at positions 8 to 451 of the family's 1533-position model. The record is from RNAcentral.
AGAGUUUGAUCCUGGCUCAGAUUGAGCGCUGGCGGCAUGCCUUACACAUGCAAGUCGAACGGUAACAGGUCUUCGGAUGCUGACGAGUGGCGAACGGGUGAGUAAUACAUCGGAACGUGCCCGAUCGUGGGGGAUAACGAGGCGAAAGCUUUGCUAAUACCGCAUACGAUCUACGGAUGAAAGCGGGGGAUCUUCGGACCUCGCGCGGACGGAGCGGCCGAUGGCAGAUUAGGUAGUUGGUGGGAUAAAAGCUUACCAAGCCGACGAUCUGUAGCUGGUCUGAGAGGAUGAUCAGCCACACUGGGACUGAGACACGGCCCAGACUCCUACGGGAGGCAGCAGUGGGGAAUUUUGGACAAUGGGCGAAAGCCUGAUCCAGCCAUGCCGCGUGCAGGAUGAAGGCCUUUGGGUUGUAAACUGCUUUUGUACGGAACGAAAA